This 448-nucleotide ribosomal RNA is filed under the name uncultured bacterium. RNAcentral's name for it is "SSU rRNA". It matches the Rfam family "Bacterial small subunit ribosomal RNA", at positions 26 to 518 of the family's 1533-position model. The record is from RNAcentral.
AGAGCGAACGCUGGCGGCAGGCCUAACACAUGCAAGUCGAGCGCCCGUAGCAAUACGGGAGCGGCAGACGGGAUAGUAACACGUGGGAACGCGCCCUUCGGUUCGGAAUAACUCAGGGAAACUUGAGCUAAUACCGGAUACGCCCUUACGGGGAAAGAUUUAUUGCCGAAGGAACGGCCCGCGUCCGAUUAGCUAGUUGGUGAGGUAAUGGCUCACCAAGGCGACGAUCGGUAGCUGGUCUGAGAGGAUGACCAGCAUCACUGGGACUGAGACACGGCCCAGACUCCUACGGGAGGCAGCAGUAGGGAAUUUUCCACAAUGGGCGAAAGCCUGAUGGAGCAACGCCGCGUGCAGGAUGAAUGUCUUCGGAUUGUAAACUGCUUUUAUAUGUGACGAUUAUGACGGUAGCAUAUGAAUAAGGAUCGGCUAACUCCGUGCCAGCAGCCGC